RNAcentral lists this transfer RNA (72 nucleotides) under Ovis aries (sheep). It matches the Rfam family "tRNA". Rfam says of the family: Transfer RNA (tRNA) molecules are approximately 80 nucleotides in length. Their secondary structure includes four short double-helical elements and three loops (D, anti-codon, and T loops). Further hydrogen bonds mediate the characteristic L-shaped molecular structure. tRNAs have two regions of fundamental functional importance: the anti-codon, which is responsible for specific mRNA codon recognition, and the 3' end, to which the tRNAs corresponding amino acid is attached (by aminoacyl-tRNA synthetases). tRNAs cope with the degeneracy of the genetic code in two manners: having more than one tRNA (with a specific anti-codon) for a particular amino acid; and 'wobble' base-pairing, i.e. permitting non-standard base-pairing at the 3rd anti-codon position. The record is from Rfam by way of RNAcentral. Lineage: Eukaryota; Metazoa; Chordata; Mammalia; Artiodactyla; Bovidae.
UCCCUGGUGGCUCAGUAGGUAGAGAAUGUGCCUGCAAUGCAGGAGACCUGGGUUCGAUCCCUAGAUUGGGAA